Molecule: ribosomal RNA, 482 nt
Filed under: uncultured bacterium
Lineage: Bacteria
Description: bacterial SSU rRNA
Rfam family: Bacterial small subunit ribosomal RNA
Source: RNAcentral
GAACGCUGGCGGCAGGCCUAACACAUGCAAGUCGAGCGGAUGAGUGGAGCUUGCUCCAUGAUUCAGCGGCGGACGGGUGAGUAAUGCCUAGGAAUCUGCCUGAUAGUGGGGGACAACGUUUCGAAAGGAACGCUAAUACCGCAUACGUCCUACGGGAGAAAGCAGGGGACCUUCGGGCCUUGCGCUAUCAGAUGAGCCUAGGUCGGAUUAGCUAGUAGGUGAGGUAAUGGCUCACCUAGGCGACGAUCCGUAACUGGGUCUGAGAGGAUGAUCAGUCACACUGGAACUGAGACACGGUCCAGACUCCUACGGGAGGCAGCAGUGGGGAAUAUUGGACAAUGGGCGAAAGCCUGAUCCAGCCAUGCCGCGUGUGUGAAGAAGGUCUUCGGAUUGUAAAGCACUUUAAGUUGGGAGGAAGGGCAGUAAGUUAAUACCUUGCUGUUUUGACGUUACCAACAGAAUAAGCACCGGCUAACUUCGUG